This 484-nucleotide ribosomal RNA is filed under the name uncultured bacterium. Its description in RNAcentral is "partial 16S ribosomal RNA". It matches the Rfam family "Bacterial small subunit ribosomal RNA", at positions 30 to 507 of the family's 1533-position model. The record is from RNAcentral.
AUUGAACGCUGGCGGCAGGCCUAACACAUGCAAGUCGAGCGGAUGAAGGGAGCUUGCUCCUGGAUUCAGCGGCGGACGGGUGAGUAAUGCCUAGGAAUCUGCCUGGUAGUGGGGGAUAACGUCCGGAAACGGGCGCUAAUACCGCAUACGUCCUGAGGGAGAAAGUGGGGGAUCUUCGGACCUCACGCUAUCAGAUGAGCCUAGGUCGGAUUAGCUAGUUGGUGGGGUAAAGGCCUACCAAGGCGACGAUCCGUAACUGGUCUGAGAGGAUGAUCAGUCACACGGGAAGUGGGACACGGUCCGAACCCCUAGGGGAGGGCGCGGGGGGGAAUUUGGGACAAUGGUCAAAAGCGUGACCCAGCCAGGCCGCUGGUGAGAAGAAGGUUUUCGGUUUUUAAACUUUUUUAAGUUGGGAGGAAGGGCAGUAAGUUAAUACUUUGCUGUUUUGACGUAACCAAAAAAAAAAGCACGGACUAACUUCGUG